RNAcentral lists this ribosomal RNA (1372 nucleotides) under uncultured bacterium. RNAcentral's name for it is "bacterial SSU rRNA". It matches the Rfam family "Bacterial small subunit ribosomal RNA", at positions 28 to 1381 of the family's 1533-position model. The record is from RNAcentral.
GAUGAACGCUGGCGGCGUGCCUAAUACAUGCAAGUCGAGCGAACGGACGAGAAGCUUGCUUCUCUGAUGUUAGCGGCGGACGGGUGAGUAACACGUGGAUAACCUACCUAUAAGACUGGGAUAACUUCGGGAAACCGGAGCUAAUACCGGAUAAUAUUUUGAACCGCAUGGUUCAAAAGUGAAAGACGGUCUUGCUGUCACUUAUAGAUGGAUCCGCGCUGCAUUAGCUAGUUGGUAAGGUAACGGCUUGCCAAGGCAACGAUGCAUAGCCGACCUGAGAGGGUGAUCGGCCACACUGGAACUGAGACACGGUCCAGACUCCUACGGGAGGCAGCAGUAGGGAAUCUUCCGCAAUGGGCGAAAGCCUGACGGAGCAACGCCGCGUGAGUGAUGAAGGUCUUCGGAUCGUAAAACUCUGUUAUUAGGGAAGAACAUAUGUGUAAGUAACUGUGCACAUCUUGACGGUACCUAAUCAGAAAGCCACGGCUAACUACGUGCCAGCAGCCGCGGUAAUACGUAGGUGGCAAGCGUUAUCCGGAAUUAUUGGGCGUAAAGCGCGCGUAGGCGGUUUUUUAAGUCUGAUGUGAAAGCCCACGGCUCAACCGUGGAGGGUCAUUGGAAACUGGAAAACUUGAGUGCAGAAGAGGAAAGUGGAAUUCCAUGUGUAGCGGUGAAAUGCGCAGAGAUAUGGAGGAACACCAGUGGCGAAGGCGACUUUCUGGUCUGUAACUGACGCUGAUGUGCGAAAGCGUGGGGAUCAAACAGGAUUAGAUACCCUGGUAGUCCACGCCGUAAACGAUGAGUGCUAAGUGUUAGGGGGUUUCCGCCCCUUAGUGCUGCAGCUAACGCAUUAAGCACUCCGCCUGGGGAGUACGACCGCAAGGUUGAAACUCAAAGGAAUUGACGGGGACCCGCACAAGCGGUGGAGCAUGUGGUUUAAUUCGAAGCAACGCGAAGAACCUUACCAAAUCUUGACAUCCUUUGACAACUCUAGAGAUAGAGCUUUCCCCUUCGGGGGACAAAGUGACAGGUGGUGCAUGGUUGUCGUCAGCUCGUGUCGUGAGAUGUUGGGUUAAGUCCCGCAACGAGCGCAACCCUUAAGCUUAGUUGCCAUCAUUAAGUUGGGCACUCUAAGUUGACUGCCGGUGACAAACCGGAGGAAGGUGGGGAUGACGUCAAAUCAUCAUGCCCCUUAUGAUUUGGGCUACACACGUGCUACAAUGGACAAUACAAAGGGCAGCGAAACCGUGAGGUCAAGCAAAUCCCAUAAAGUUGUUCUCAGUUCGGAUUGUAGUCUGCAACUCGACUACAUGAAGCUGGAAUCGCUAGUAAUCGUAGAUCAGCAUGCUACGGUGAAUACGUUCCCGGGUCU